Molecule: ribosomal RNA, 463 nt
Filed under: Pseudoclavibacter sp. canine oral taxon 392
Lineage: Bacteria; Bacillati; Actinomycetota; Actinomycetes; Micrococcales; Microbacteriaceae
Description: bacterial SSU rRNA
Rfam family: Bacterial small subunit ribosomal RNA
Source: RNAcentral
GAGUUUGAUUCUGGCUCAGGACGAACGCUGGCGGCGUGCGUAACACAUGCAAGUCGAACGAUGAAGCCUUAGCUUGCUUUGGUGGAUUAGUGGCGAACGGGUGAGUAAUACGUGAGCAACGUGCCCUUCCCUCUGGAAUAACUUCGAGAAAUCGGAGCUAAUACUGGAUAUGAGGUCCUGUCGCAUGGCGGGGUCUGGAAAGAUGUUUCGGGGGAGGAUCGGCUCACGGCCUAUCAGCUUGUUGGUGAGGUAAUGGCUUACCAAGGCGACGACGGGUAGCCGGCCUGAGAGGGUGACCGGCCACACUGGGACUGAGACACGGCCCAGACUCCUACGGGAGGCAGCAGUGGGGAAUAUUGCACAAUGGGCGGAAGCCUGAUGCAGCAACGCCGCGUGGGGGAUGACGGCCUUCGGGUUGUAAACCUCUUUUAGUAGGGAAGAAAGCGAGAGUGACGUACUNANA